CCUGGUUAAAGUCCUGGCAAGAAUU
This 25-nucleotide transfer RNA is filed under the name Champsocephalus esox (pike icefish). Its description in RNAcentral is "partial tRNA-Glu". The record is from RNAcentral. Lineage: Eukaryota; Metazoa; Chordata; Actinopteri; Perciformes; Channichthyidae.